GAUGAACGCUGGCGGCGUGCCUAAUACAUGCAAGUCGAGCGAACAGACGAGGAGCUUGCUCCUCUGACGUUAGCGGCGGACGGGUGAGUAACACGUGGAUAACCUACCUAUAAGACUGGGAUAACUUCGGGUAACCGGAGCUAAUACCGGAUAAUAUAUUGAACCGCAUGGUUCAAUAGUGAAAGACGGUUUUGCUGUCACUUAUAGAUGGAUCCGCGCCGCAUUAGCUAGUUGGUAAGGUAACGGCUUACCAAGGCAACGAUGCGUAGCCGACCUGAGAGGGUGAUCGGCCACACUGGAACUGAGACACGGUCCAGACUCCUACGGGAGGCAGCAGUAGGGAAUCUUCCGCAAUGGGAGAAAGCCUGACGGAGCAACGCCGCGUGAGUGAUGAAGGUCUUCGGAUCGUAAAACUCUGUUAUUAGGGAAGAACAAAUGUGUAAGUAACUAUGCACGUCUUGACGGUACCUAAUCAGAAAGCCACGGCUAACUACGUG
RNAcentral lists this ribosomal RNA (497 nucleotides) under uncultured bacterium. RNAcentral describes it as "partial 16S ribosomal RNA". It matches the Rfam family "Bacterial small subunit ribosomal RNA", at positions 28 to 507 of the family's 1533-position model. The record is from RNAcentral.